UGGCGAAGAGGAUAAAAGUAAAAGUAAAAAAGUAAAUAAAUUAUGCAGAUUCAGAGCAUGAUGACGCGUGUGCUGCUGGUAGGAGGAGGGCUGACCAGUGCAGUGACUGGUGCAAUGCUUCGCAGAGAACUUCCACAUGUUGAACUGGUCUUGUGGGACAAAGCCCGAGGAGCUGGAGGUCGUAUGUCAACAAGUCGCAGCCCACACGACUCUUCCUGUACGGCUGAUCUAGGUGCUCAAUACAUCUCAGCAACUCCAGAAUAUGCUAAACUGCACAACUUGUAUUAUGAAGAACUUAUUAAUGCAGAAGUGUUGACGCCACUCAAUACUAAAGUGGCUGGUAUGAAGAGAAGUGAAGAAGGUACCAAGCACUAUGUAACUCCACGUGGAAUAUCAUCUAUAGUAAAACAUUUUAUGAAAGAAGCAAAUCUCACGGCAAGAUUUGAUCAUCAUGUAAGAAGCAUUUAUAUGGAUAAUGGUAGAUGGAGUGUGAGAACUAGUGAAGGUGAGGCUGACCAUUUUGAUGCUGUGGUUCUGACAAUGCCUGUACCACAGAUACUGGGAUUAACUGGCACUGUUAAGGAUGUAAUAGAGAAGGAUGAAAAACUGCGUUCAAGCUUGCAGUCUGUUGAUUAUAGCUCCCGGUAUGCACUUGGUUUGUUUUACGAGGAAGAUGCAAGUAUCAGCCUUCAAGAUGAAGCAGCAGCACAAUAUAUUACAAAUGAUUCUAUUUUCCGAUUUGUUGCUAUAGACAACAAAAAAAGAGGCCAAGAGAGUAUGGCUUCAUCAGUCGUUCUACACACUUCGGUGCCAUUUGGUAAAGCCCAUGUAGAGGAGACGCCUGAUCAAGUUAAACCAAUACUUCUGAACAAUGUCAAAGAAAUGUUUCCAGAUUGGCCGGAACCAAAAUUUGUCAAAUGCCAGAAGUGGAGAUUUUCUCAGGUAACAUCAGCAUAUCCUGGUCUUCCUGGCUGUAUAAUAUUAGCUGAUGGACUGGUUGCUGGCGGUGAUGGUUUUACACAUUCCAACAUGGAUGGCUGUAUAGAGUCUGCAAAAUCAAUAGUCGCUGCCGUCGUUCAGUACGUCAGUAAAUGAUGUUAGCAUGCUAAUAGUCCAUUGCUUGGGUUAGUACACUUCAGCAAAUUAAGGAUUGAACAGUGAUGAAGAGAAAUAUGAGAAGCAAAAAUUAUAGUACUGUACAGUAUAGCUUAUAAUACAGCAUAAUGUUACAGUACAGUACCUGUACUUCAUUUCUUUGAUAAUGUCAAAUAGAAGAGAUAAAAACAAAAUGUAGCUGUUUCCUCUUACUGUAAUAAAGCACAAGAGAUUGAAGUCUUUGGAAUUUUAAAUUAUGUCAAAAUGCAAGAAAGUUUUCCUUUAGUUUAUGAUGUGUAUAAGAAGAAUUGACUCAUAGUUGUUGUUUAUCAUUUCACUUUUCAAGAGAGAAGUUAAAAGCAUUAUUAGUAACCUGCUUAAUGGUUGUCUUAUUGCCCCAUAAAAAGUGCAUACUGCAAGGAUCAUGAAUUUAUGAACCUUGAGAUUAGAAAAUUUAGUUCUAAAAAACUCUUGAGAACUCUGAACUCCUCAAGGCUGUAUUGAAUUAUCUUUCCUCAAAAGUGGAUUAGUUAUUUGCAUCUUGCCUUUUGAAUAAUGAGAAAAAGAUUUAAUUCUUCUGCCUUGUUUUGACUGGAGUCUAAAUAACUCCCAUCUUCAAGCCUCCGACCUGAUACUAUAUUGUACACUCACAACUUGCCCUUAAUUUUGAUUGUGUGAAAUGAUAGAAACUUGGGUAUUGACUUGGCAAUCCACCUCAAGAAUACACUUUUCUCCCCCUUCACACUCUGACCUAGCAUACAUCUUUCUGUCCCGCUUGUCAAUAGUACCAACCAAUCUUUUGGAACUUUUGACAUUUCUUCCUAACUUUGGUAUGUGCUCCUUGGUUUAUGUGUACAGGUUUCUGGGAUGUGCCUGAACUAACUGGCUCAGACUUAGAUACUGUAUGUAUUUCCCUAGCAAAAAUUUAAUAUCACCAGUUGCAUUUUCCAAGAAUCCACAUCCAUAUUGUUCUAUAAGUUAGGCCAGUCAAUGCUCCCCCACUCUUGUCAUAAUCACCAAUAUAAUAUUUGAACCUCAGCUGCUCUUGUACCAUAUAACAAAUAAACCUAAGGGACAGUGCCACAUCAUGUCUAGUGUCAUUGGGUGGGGGUUAUAUGUUCUAUUGUGACCACCAUACCCUCUUCAGUGGUCUUGAUGUAUGUUUACUUUUUUAGUGAGUUGGAUCUAUUUAAUGUUUUUUUAACGGGAAAUUGUCUCUCGGAACUAAAACAAAACAAACUUGCAGUGCUAUUAAGUUUGUUCAUUAUAUUUUCAAUUCUCCUGUUGAUAUGACCAUAAUUGAACCCCCAUUACACGGAGGAGACUAAAGUUGAAUGCUAUUGUACUCUUUAUUAUGGAAAUUAUCCCAAACUCCCAUUGUUUUAAUAAACUACAAUUUGGUGAUCUGUAAAUGCAUCUAGCAAU
This 2520-nucleotide unclassified non-coding RNA is filed under the name Homarus americanus (American lobster). RNAcentral's name for it is "renalase-like, transcript variant X1". The record is from RNAcentral. Lineage: Eukaryota; Metazoa; Arthropoda; Malacostraca; Decapoda; Nephropidae.